ACGGCGAGUGAACAGGGAAAAGCCCAAAUUUGUAAUCUGGCACUUUUUACAAGUGUCCGAGUUGUAAUUUGUAGAGCUGUUAUCCGUACUGGACCAUGUACAAGUCUGUUGAAAAGCACCAUCAUUGAAGGUGAAAAUCCUGUAGAUGAUAUGGACUACCAGUAUAUUUGUGAUACGGUUUCUAAGAGUCGAGUUGUUUGGGAAUGCAGCUCAAAGUGGGUGGUAAAUUCCAUCUAAGGCUAAAUAUAAGUGAGAGACCGAUAGCAAACAAGUACCGUGAGGGAAAGAUGAAAAGAACUUUGAAAAUAGAGUUAACAGUACGUGAAAUUGCUGAAAGGGAAACGUUUGAAGUUAGUUUUGUAUUCGUUGGAUCAGCUUCGCAAGGAGUGUAUUCUGAUGAUAAGCAAGUCAACAUCAGUCUAUGAGUGUUGGAUAAGGGUUUUGAGAAUGUAGCAAUUUAAUUGUGUUAUAGCUUGAGACUUGGAUACAAUGCUUUGGAUUGAGGAACGCGUAGUAAGCUUUGAGCGGAUUCGAAAGGAUCUCCUUACUAUGGAUGUAGGUGAAAUAACUAUAAGCGACCCGUCUU
RNAcentral lists this ribosomal RNA (586 nucleotides) under Melampsora sp. BPI 1108633. RNAcentral's name for it is "eukaryotic LSU rRNA". It matches the Rfam family "Eukaryotic large subunit ribosomal RNA", at positions 86 to 655 of the family's 3401-position model. Lineage: Eukaryota; Fungi; Basidiomycota; Pucciniomycetes; Pucciniales; Melampsoraceae. The record is from RNAcentral.